UCUUGCUUGGCCCUUUUCGGAACGGCAUUGCCUCUUCCACUACUAACGGCAAAUGACCUUGGUUAAUAUUGAUUUCUUGCCUGACAUCUCAGCGUCCUGCAAGCCUAGGCUAAAUUAAUUCCCACCAGAGGUCAUAGUUGAGGCCUGGGGUCCGGGGAGCUGCCUGUGAUAAACAUGACCAUUUAUCACUCAGCUGUCUUUCCCAGAGACUAAAUUCACUUUCAGACAAAUCCUCCCCCUAAUUUAACCUUAAUGGCUGGCUCACAAAUCCCCUGUGUGUGCAUGUGUGUGUGCUCAGCUUAUCUCUUGACACUGCUCUUCCAUCCCAUUUCCCCAGCAUCCUCCCACCCGUGAGAUAAACAAGGAGAGAGUUCUGUGUAUGACCAAGGUUCGGGGGGAGCUGGCUAUGUCAAAUGGGUUCCUGUGCCAAGGAGACUUUUGAUAACCUACGCAAAUAUCAAGGCCGACACUUUGCUGCGGUUUGAUUUGUUAUCAGGAAGCGUGGCACUUCAGAUAAGUGGAGAGGCAGACUGCAAAGAGGGCUGGAGACCAUGAAGAAACACCUUCUGUAUUGAUAACACUUCUUCACAUGUGUAUGCUCUGUUUAAAGUCAGAGGUGCCAUUCCAAGAGGGCGGAGGGAGGCAGUCUCUCCUCCCCCCCCACCUGCGUUUCAUGUCUGAUAUGAAGAACUGUCAAGUGUGCAGAAAUCUUGAGGAAGGUGAAGCAGCCUGGGUCUGGUCCGUGCCCGGAUUUAUUAAGAAUUGGAAGACACAAGAUCUACCCACCAUGGAAGA
Molecule: long non-coding RNA, 795 nt
Organism: Podarcis muralis (Common wall lizard)
Lineage: Eukaryota; Metazoa; Chordata; Lepidosauria; Squamata; Lacertidae
Source: RefSeq, a predicted model, not a curated record